ACAUAUUUUAAAACAUAAGGGGGCAAGCAAAAUAAGAAAGAAAAAUAGGAGGGAAGGUAAAUUUUGCCAUUAAAAUUUAAACGUCACUUCCAAGACUCCAGGUUCCAAGUUCAACUUGGCAGUUGAGCAGUUUCCAAACAGAAUCAGCAUCAUGCCAUCAUCCCGUCUCGUGAAAAUUGGGCAUCAUUCCGAACCGGUCACCGUCGACGACUCACCGUGACCUAGCAGUGAUGAGUUAUGCUUGUCACUCUAUCCAACAUCUCUGAUUACAAAUCAAGAUAUUUGAUUGCUGUUUGGACAUCCUUGUCGCCUCUACCGCUGCGGUUGGAAAAAAUAACACCCACGAGUGAUAUCCGAUGUCUUUUUGGUUAUAGACACACAUGAAAUUGAAGACAGAUGGAAACCAGCACUCCAGCAGAAAAGCAUGAUUGUUGGUAUUUGAAACUUGGUAUAAUGAUUUUAUUUAAAUCAUACCUGUAUUUCCCUUCAACGAUAACUUAGGUAUAGAGAGUAGUUAACUAGUUAUAAGUUAUUAUUUAUUUCUCUCACUGUGUCCAACAUCCAUCCUUACAAAAAGAGCAAGAUAAAAAAAUCUAAUAUAUAGCAUUAUUAUUGUGUUUCACAUUAACGAAUGGCUCUUCUCAUUAGACAUCAAGAUAUUUGAUUGCUGUUUGGACAUCUUUGUCGCCUCUGCCGCUGCAGUUAAGAACCAAUUUCGUGCCAUCAGGAAGAGUGGGG
RNAcentral lists this long non-coding RNA (738 nucleotides) under Zostera marina. Its description in RNAcentral is "long non-coding RNA (ZMAR_LNC005621)". Lineage: Eukaryota; Viridiplantae; Streptophyta; Magnoliopsida; Alismatales; Zosteraceae. The record is from RNAcentral.